GUCACUGUAAAGUGUUACAAUUUAUAUUUAAACGCAACACAUAAAUAGUGACCAAAAAGGUACGGCUAUCACAUGAGAGAAGCUAGAAAAAUGUAAAAUGUAAACAUUUUAAACAUUUUUGGGGGACCAUGAAAAUGUGGUAUAAAGAUAGAUAUGCAUAGAUAGACCAUAGAACAAAUAGGCAAACAAAUUCAAAGGAGAUGAAUUAUGAAAAAAAAGAGGCAUGGACAAUAAAUAGAGCCUUUGUUAGAGGUGACCCAGGUCGCCUUUCUCUAAAUCAGCUAUAUUAAAGGUAACCACAUAUUUCUGGGCCGGG
This 316-nucleotide long non-coding RNA is filed under the name Mytilus galloprovincialis (Mediterranean mussel). Lineage: Eukaryota; Metazoa; Mollusca; Bivalvia; Mytilida; Mytilidae. The record is from RNAcentral.